UGAGCAAUCUGCCCUUCUCUUCGGAAUAAGCGUUGGAAACGACGUCUAAUGCCGAAUACGACCUCCUUUCGCAUGAUCGGAGGUGGAAAGCUCCGGCGGAGAAGGAUGAGCUCGCGGCCUAUCAGCUAGUUGGUGUGGGUAAUGGCCCACCAAGGCGACGACGGGUAGCCGGCCUGAGAGGGUGACCGGCCACACUGGGACUGAGACACGGCCCAGACCUCCGUACGGGAGNAGCG
This 236-nucleotide ribosomal RNA is filed under the name uncultured bacterium. Its description in RNAcentral is "partial 16S ribosomal RNA". It matches the Rfam family "Bacterial small subunit ribosomal RNA", at positions 118 to 347 of the family's 1533-position model. The record is from RNAcentral.